CAAGAAGCGCCGAAAGGCUGCUUCACAACAUAGGAACUAUCUCAGGUUGCUUCGGCGGUCGCUCGCCCCUCGGGGCCAGGCGCGGCUGGCCGGCCGCCGAGUGGCCGGAGGUACGAAACUCUUUAUAAUGCUAGUUACAUCUGAGUAUACUAUAGCUUAAUAAGUCA
This 167-nucleotide unclassified non-coding RNA is filed under the name soil metagenome. RNAcentral's name for it is "partial internal transcribed spacer 1". The record is from RNAcentral.